This 2233-nucleotide ribosomal RNA is filed under the name Escherichia coli. RNAcentral describes it as "bacterial LSU rRNA". It matches the Rfam family "Bacterial large subunit ribosomal RNA", at positions 1 to 2261 of the family's 2925-position model. Lineage: Bacteria; Pseudomonadati; Pseudomonadota; Gammaproteobacteria; Enterobacterales; Enterobacteriaceae. The record is from RNAcentral.
UUAAGCGACUAAGCGUACACGGUGGAUGCCCUGGCAGUCAGAGGCGAUGAAGGACGUGCUAAUCUGCGAUAAGCGUCGGUAAGGUGAUAUGAACCGUUAUAACCGGCGAUUUCCGAAUGGGGAAACCCAGUGUGUUUCGACACACUAUCAUUAACUGAAUCCAUAGGUUAAUGAGGCGAACCGGGGGAACUGAAACAUCUAAGUACCCCGAGGAAAAGAAAUCAACCGAGAUUCCCCCAGUAGCGGCGAGCGAACGGGGAGCAGCCCAGAGCCUGAAUCAGUGUGUGUGUUAGUGGAAGCGUCUGGAAAGGCGCGCGAUACAGGGUGACAGCCCCGUACACAAAAAUGCACAUGCUGUGAGCUCGAUGAGUAGGGCGGGACACGUGGUAUCCUGUCUGAAUAUGGGGGGACCAUCCUCCAAGGCUAAAUACUCCUGACUGACCGAUAGUGAACCAGUACCGUGAGGGAAAGGCGAAAAGAACCCCGGCGAGGGGAGUGAAAAAGAACCUGAAACCGUGUACGUACAAGCAGUGGGAGCACGCUUAGGCGUGUGACUGCGUACCUUUUGUAUAAUGGGUCAGCGACUUAUAUUCUGUAGCAAGGUUAACCGAAUAGGGGAGCCGAAGGGAAACCGAGUCUUAACUGGGCGUUAAGUUGCAGGGUAUAGACCCGAAACCCGGUGAUCUAGCCAUGGGCAGGUUGAAGGUUGGGUAACACUAACUGGAGGACCGAACCGACUAAUGUUGAAAAAUUAGCGGAUGACUUGUGGCUGGGGGUGAAAGGCCAAUCAAACCGGGAGAUAGCUGGUUCUCCCCGAAAGCUAUUUAGGUAGCGCCUCGUGAAUUCAUCUCCGGGGGUAGAGCACUGUUUCGGCAAGGGGGUCAUCCCGACUUACCAACCCGAUGCAAACUGCGAAUACCGGAGAAUGUUAUCACGGGAGACACACGGCGGGUGCUAACGUCCGUCGUGAAGAGGGAAACAACCCAGACCGCCAGCUAAGGUCCCAAAGUCAUGGUUAAGUGGGAAACGAUGUGGGAAGGCCCAGACAGCCAGGAUGUUGGCUUAGAAGCAGCCAUCAUUUAAAGAAAGCGUAAUAGCUCACUGGUCGAGUCGGCCUGCGCGGAAGAUGUAACGGGGCUAAACCAUGCACCGAAGCUGCGGCAGCGACGCUUAUGCGUUGUUGGGUAGGGGAGCGUUCUGUAAGCCUGCGAAGGUGUGCUGUGAGGCAUGCUGGAGGUAUCAGAAGUGCGAAUGCUGACAUAAGUAACGAUAAAGCGGGUGAAAAGCCCGCUCGCCGGAAGACCAAGGGUUCCUGUCCAACGUUAAUCGGGGCAGGGUGAGUCGACCCCUAAGGCGAGGCCGAAAGGCGUAGUCGAUGGGAAACAGGUUAAUAUUCCUGUACUUGGUGUUACUGCGAAGGGGGGACGGAGAAGGCUAUGUUGGCCGGGCGACGGUUGUCCCGGUUUAAGCGUGUAGGCUGGUUUUCCAGGCAAAUCCGGAAAAUCAAGGCUGAGGCGUGAUGACGAGGCACUACGGUGCUGAAGCAACAAAUGCCCUGCUUCCAGGAAAAGCCUCUAAGCAUCAGGUAACAUCAAAUCGUACCCCAAACCGACACAGGUGGUCAGGUAGAGAAUACCAAGGCGCUUGAGAGAACUCGGGUGAAGGAACUAGGCAAAAUGGUGCCGUAACUUCGGGAGAAGGCACGCUGAUAUGUAGGUGAAGCGACUUGCUCGUGGAGCUGAAAUCAGUCGAAGAUACCAGCUGGCUGCAACUGUUUAUUAAAAACACAGCACUGUGCAAACACGAAAGUGGACGUAUACGGUGUGACGCCUGCCCGGUGCCGGAAGGUUAAUUGAUGGGGUUAGCGCAAGCGAAGCUCUUGAUCGAAGCCCCGGUAAACGGCGGCCGUAACUAUAACGGUCCUAAGGUAGCGAAAUUCCUUGUCGGGUAAGUUCCGACCUGCACGAAUGGCGUAAUGAUGGCCAGGCUGUCUCCACCCGAGACUCAGUGAAAUUGAACUCGCUGUGAAGAUGCAGUGUACCCGCGGCAAGACGGAAAGACCCCGUGAACCUUUACUAUAGCUUGACACUGAACAUUGAGCCUUGAUGUGUAGGAUAGGUGGGAGGCUUAGAAGUGUGGACGCCAGUCUGCAUGGAGCCGACCUUGAAAUACCACCCUUUAAUGUUUGAUGUUCUAACGUUGACCCGUAAUCCGGGUUGCGGACAGUGUCUGG